RNAcentral lists this transfer RNA (75 nucleotides) under Pseudomonadota bacterium. RNAcentral describes it as "tRNA-Trp". It matches the Rfam family "tRNA". From Rfam's summary of the family: Transfer RNA (tRNA) molecules are approximately 80 nucleotides in length. Their secondary structure includes four short double-helical elements and three loops (D, anti-codon, and T loops). The record is from RNAcentral. Lineage: Bacteria; Pseudomonadati; Pseudomonadota. RNAcentral also lists the same sequence under 2 other names.
GGGUCAGUAGCUCGAAUUGGUUAGAGCACCGGACUCCAAAUCCGGGGGUUGCAGGUUCGAGUCCUGCCUGGCCCG